CCUACGGGAGGCAGCAGUGAGGAAUAUUGGUCAAUGGGCGCUAGCCUGAACCAGCCAAGUAGCGUGCAGGAUGACUGCCCUAUGGGUUGUAAACUUCUUUUAUAUGGGAAUAAAGUGCAGUAUGUAUACUGCUUUGCAUGUACCUUAUGAAUAAGGAUCGGCUAACUCCGUGCCAGCAGCCGCGGUAAUACGGAGGAUCCGAGCGUUAUCCGGAUUUAUUGGGUUUAAAGGGAGCGUAGGCGGGUUGGUAAGUCAGUUGUGAAAGUUUGCGGCUCAACCGUAAAAUUGCAGUUGAUACUGGCAGCCUUGAGUACAGUAGAGGUAGGCGGAAUUCGUGGUGUAGCGGUGAAAUGCUUAGAGAUCACGAAGAACUCCGAUUGCGAAGGCAGCCUGCUGGACUGUAACUGACGCUGAUGCUCGAAAGUGUGGGUAUCAAACAGGAUUAGAUACCCUAGUAGUC
This 460-nucleotide ribosomal RNA is filed under the name uncultured bacterium. RNAcentral describes it as "partial 16S ribosomal RNA". It matches the Rfam family "Bacterial small subunit ribosomal RNA", at positions 338 to 795 of the family's 1533-position model. The record is from RNAcentral.